CCUACGGGUGGCAGCAGUGGGGAAUAUUGGGCAAUGGGCGCAAGCCUGACCCAGCAAUGCCGCGUGAAGGAAGAAGGCCCUCGGGUUGUAAACCUCUUUUAUCAAGGACGAAACAAAUGACGGUACUAGAUGAAUAAGCUACGGCUAACCACGUGCUAGCAGCCGCGGUAAUACGUAGGUGGCAAGCGUUAUCCGGAUGUACUGGGAGUAAAGGGCGUGUAGGCGGGACUGCAAGUCGGAUGUGAAAGCCAUGGGCUCAACCUAUGGCAUGCAUUUGAGACUGUAGUACUUGAGUGUGUGAGAGGGAGGCGGAAUUCCGAGUGUAGCAGUGAAAUGCGUAGAUAUACGGAAGAACA
This 356-nucleotide ribosomal RNA is filed under the name uncultured bacterium. Its description in RNAcentral is "partial 16S ribosomal RNA". It matches the Rfam family "Bacterial small subunit ribosomal RNA", at positions 338 to 708 of the family's 1533-position model. The record is from RNAcentral.